GAGCCAUUAGCUCAGUAGGUAGAGCACAUGACUUUUAAUCAUGGUGUCACUGGUUCGAUUCCAGUAUGGCUCACCA
Molecule: transfer RNA, 76 nt
Filed under: Sebaldella sp.
Lineage: Bacteria; Fusobacteriati; Fusobacteriota; Fusobacteriia; Fusobacteriales; Leptotrichiaceae
Description: tRNA-Lys
Rfam family: tRNA
About the family: Transfer RNA (tRNA) molecules are approximately 80 nucleotides in length. Their secondary structure includes four short double-helical elements and three loops (D, anti-codon, and T loops). Further hydrogen bonds mediate the characteristic L-shaped molecular structure. tRNAs have two regions of fundamental functional importance: the anti-codon, which is responsible for specific mRNA codon recognition, and the 3' end, to which the tRNAs corresponding amino acid is attached (by aminoacyl-tRNA synthetases). tRNAs cope with the degeneracy of the genetic code in two manners: having more than one tRNA (with a specific anti-codon) for a particular amino acid; and 'wobble' base-pairing, i.e. permitting non-standard base-pairing at the 3rd anti-codon position.
Source: RNAcentral